GCAAUAGGGGCCACUCAGGCUAGCCAAGGAGACUGCCUAUGAACCUCUCAAUGGUCCACACAUUCAGGUCCUUUGUAAACAAAGGACAUAGGCAAGUCAUCCUUGGCUAUCAGAGGUAGGCCCUUAUUG
This is a non-coding RNA of Zea mays, 129 nucleotides long. NCBI's taxonomy places the organism in Eukaryota, Viridiplantae, Streptophyta, Magnoliopsida, Poales, Poaceae. The record is from Rfam.